RNAcentral lists this transfer RNA (73 nucleotides) under Chloroflexia bacterium. RNAcentral describes it as "tRNA-Lys". It matches the Rfam family "tRNA". From Rfam's summary of the family: Transfer RNA (tRNA) molecules are approximately 80 nucleotides in length. RNAcentral also lists the same sequence under 3 other names. Lineage: Bacteria; Bacillati; Chloroflexota; Chloroflexia. The record is from RNAcentral.
GACCGCGUAGCUCAGUUGGUAGAGCAACUGACUUUUAAUCAGUGGGUCCCGGGUUCGAGUCCCGGCGCGGUCA